This 505-nucleotide ribosomal RNA is filed under the name uncultured bacterium. RNAcentral describes it as "partial 16S ribosomal RNA". It matches the Rfam family "Bacterial small subunit ribosomal RNA", at positions 28 to 507 of the family's 1533-position model. The record is from RNAcentral.
GACGAACGCUGGCGGCGUGCCUAAUACAUGCAAGUAGAACGCACAGUUUAUACCGUAGCUUGCUACACCAUAGACUGUGAGUUGCGAACGGGUGAGUAACGCGUAGGUAACCUGCCUGGUAGCGGGGGAUAACUAUUGGAAACGAUAGCUAAUACCGCAUAAUAUUAAUUAUUGCAUGAUAAUUAAUUGAAAGGUGCAAUUGCACCACUACCAGAUGGACCUGCGUUGUAUUAGCUAGUAGGUGAGGUAACGGCUCACCUAGGCGACGAUACAUAGCCGACCUGAGAGGGUGGUCGGCCACACUGGGACUGAGACACGGCCCAGACUCCUACGGGAGGCAGCAGUAGGGAAUCUUCGGCAAUGGACGAAAGUCUGACCGAGCAACGCCGCGUGAGUGAAGAAGGUUUUCGGAUCGUAAAGCUCUGUUGUAAGAGAAGAACGGGUGUGAGAGUGGAAAGUUCACACUGUGACGGUAUCUUACCAGAAAGGGACGGCUAACUACGUG